CCUACGGGAGGCUGCAGUGGGGAAUAUUGGACAAUGGGCGAAAGCCUGAUCCAGCCAUGCCGCGUGUGUGAAGAAGGCCUUCGGGUUGUAAAGCACUUUCAGUGGGGAAGAAAGCCUUGGGGCUAAUACCCUCGAGGAAGGACAUCACCCACAGAAGAAGCACCGGCUAACUCCGUGCCAGCAGCCGCGGUAAUACGGAGGGUGCGAGCGUUAAUCGGAAUUACUAGGCGUAAAGCGCGCGUAGGCGGUCUGAUAAGCCGGUUGUGAAAGCCCCGGGCUCAACCUGGGAACGGCAUCCGGAACUGUCAGGCUAGAGUGCAGGAGAGGAAGGUAGAAUUCCCGGUGUAGCGGUGAAAUGCGUAGAGAUCGGGAGGAAUACCAGUGGCGAAGGCGGCCUUCUGGACUGACACUGACGCUGAGGUGCGAAAGCGUGGGUAGCAAACAGGAUUAGAUACCCCUGUAGUC
Molecule: ribosomal RNA, 465 nt
Filed under: Vreelandella stevensii
Lineage: Bacteria; Pseudomonadati; Pseudomonadota; Gammaproteobacteria; Oceanospirillales; Halomonadaceae
Description: partial 16S ribosomal RNA
Rfam family: Bacterial small subunit ribosomal RNA
Source: RNAcentral